GUGCAGUGGGCAUAUCAGCUCAACACCCAUGGGGGAACCAACACUCUGGAGGCCCUGCAGACUGGCUGUGGGUUUGGGGACAGUGUGGGCCUGUACCUGCUGAGUGAUGGGAAGCCAGAUUCCAGCUGCAGCCUGGUGCUGAAAGAGACGGAGAGACUGACCACAGGGAACCACAUUACUAUCCACACUGUCUCAUUCAACUGCACAGACAGCUCAGCCAAUGACUUUCUGAAGAAACUGGCUCACCAAACUGGG
This is a long non-coding RNA of Oncorhynchus masou masou (cherry salmon), 255 nucleotides long. RefSeq lists it as uncharacterized. The transcript has 3 exons. NCBI's taxonomy places the organism in Eukaryota, Metazoa, Chordata, Actinopteri, Salmoniformes, Salmonidae. The record is from RefSeq and is a predicted model, not a curated record.